UGGGGCAGUGGGCUGGCCUUCCGCUCUUGUCUCAUAGGAAGGGUCUUGGUGCUCUGGGUCCUUUCCACGUCUCAAUGCACGUCUGAGUGUAGGAGAAUCACCUCAUGGCCGCAAAAGCAUUGUCCUGGGAUGCGGAGGAUCUGCAGCCUGACAACUCUAGUGUCGCAGGUCAUGGGAGGCGGGGAGACGCUCUGCGGGCCCCGAUCCCUGGGAAACGCUGGCAUGCCAGGUAUCUUGGAUGCUAUAUUUACAGCCUACAUCCUGGCCUCGUGACCCGGCAAUUGUGGUUUCUGCUGUGCUUCUGGCUCUCAGGUGCGAGUGUCUCACCACCGCAGCCCCUCUAGAUCUUUAUAGCACCCCGUGGAGGCUUUUGUGAAUUUGAAUCGGAUAUUCAGCACAUGCAUGCAGUGUCAACGGAGCCCAGAGGACAUCAAAUCGCCUGCGAGUAGAGUUGCGGAUUAC
This is a long non-coding RNA of Acomys russatus (golden spiny mouse), 462 nucleotides long. RefSeq lists it as uncharacterized. The transcript has 3 exons. NCBI's taxonomy places the organism in Eukaryota, Metazoa, Chordata, Mammalia, Rodentia, Muridae. The record is from RefSeq and is a predicted model, not a curated record.